RNAcentral lists this transfer RNA (64 nucleotides) under Atlantirivulus haraldsiolii. RNAcentral's name for it is "tRNA-Tyr". It matches the Rfam family "tRNA". Rfam says of the family: Transfer RNA (tRNA) molecules are approximately 80 nucleotides in length. Their secondary structure includes four short double-helical elements and three loops (D, anti-codon, and T loops). The record is from RNAcentral. Lineage: Eukaryota; Metazoa; Chordata; Actinopteri; Cyprinodontiformes; Rivulidae.
UAAGAUGACUGAAAUAAGUGGUGGAUUGUAGCUCCAUAAAUAAAGGUUUAAAUCCUUUUCUUAC